CAGUAGCCGGGUAAUACAGAGGGUGCGAGCGUUAAUCGGAUUUACUGGGCGUAAAGCGUGCGUAGGCGGCUAAUUGAGUCGGAUGUGAAAUCCCCGAGCUUAACUUGGGAAUUGCAUUCGAUACUGGUUAGCUAGAGUGUGGGAGAGGAUGGUAGAAUUCCAGGUGUAGCGGUGAAAUGCGUAGAGAUCUGGAGGAAUACCGAUGGCGAAGGCAGCCAUCUGGCCUAACACUGACGCUGAGGUACGAAAGCAUGGGGAGCAAACAGGAUUAGAUACCCGCGUAGUCCCUGUCUCUUAUACA
Molecule: ribosomal RNA, 301 nt
Filed under: uncultured bacterium
Lineage: Bacteria
Description: partial 16S ribosomal RNA
Rfam family: Bacterial small subunit ribosomal RNA
Source: RNAcentral